GCUGGGCAUGGUGGCGCAUGCCUGUAAUCCCAGCUACUCGGGAGGCUGAGGCAGGAGAAUCGCUUGAACCCAGGAGGCGGAGGUUACAGUGAGCCAAGAUCGCACCACUGCACUCCAGCCUGGGGUGACAAAGCGAGACUCUGUCUUAA
Molecule: unclassified non-coding RNA, 149 nt
Organism: Pongo abelii (Sumatran orangutan)
Lineage: Eukaryota; Metazoa; Chordata; Mammalia; Primates; Hominidae
Rfam family: Metazoan signal recognition particle RNA
About the family: The signal recognition particle (SRP) is a universally conserved ribonucleoprotein.
Source: Ensembl